ACACUCUCUACUAUGUGGCCACUAAUUAUAUCGACCUCCUCCCUCGUCCUCUCAAUUACUUGGGUUGGGCUGCUUACAUUGCUGUUCAAGGUUGUGUCCUUACUGGGGCUUGGGUUAUAGGCCAUGAAUGUGAUCACCAUGCUUUUAGUGACUAUCAGUGGGUCGACGACCUUGUUGGCCUUGUUGUCCACUCCUCUCUUCUCGUCCCUUACUUUUCUUGGAAAAUUAGCCACCGUCGUCACCAUGCCAACACCCAAUCCCUUGAAAAUGACGAGGUGUAUGUCCCAAGAUUUAAGUCCAACAUCCGAAACUAUUACAAAAUCUUUGACAAUCCACCUGGCCGAGUACUUGUUUGGAUUACCACACUCCUUAUCGGUUUUCCUUUAUACUUGAUGUUCAAUGUAUCCGGCCACAAGUACGAAAGAUGGACUUCCCACUAUGAUCCUCAUAGCCCUCUUUACUCCGAUCGUGAACGCAAAGAGAUUAUUAUUUCUGAUGUUGCUAUCCUUGCUGUCAUCUAUGGACUCUAUCGUCUUGUGUUAGCCAAAGGAUUUGCAUGGGUUUUCUGCGUCUAUGGAGGUCCAUUACUAGUUGUUAAUGGUUGGUUCGUGUUGAUCACCAUAUUGAAUCAUACUCACCCUUCUUUGCCUUACUAUGAUUCUACCGAGUGGGAUUGGUUGAGGGGAGCUCUUUGCACCGUAGAUAGAGAUUACGGAAUUUUGAACAAGGUGUUCCACAAUGUGUGCAAUGCUCAUGUUUGUCACCAUAUUUUCUCCAUGAUGCCGCAUUAUCAUGGACUGGAAGCAACUGAG
This 812-nucleotide long non-coding RNA is filed under the name Panax ginseng (ginseng). RNAcentral's name for it is "long non-coding RNA (PGIN_LNC018755)". Lineage: Eukaryota; Viridiplantae; Streptophyta; Magnoliopsida; Apiales; Araliaceae. The record is from RNAcentral.